RNAcentral lists this RNase P RNA (198 nucleotides) under Acidobacteriota bacterium. RNAcentral describes it as "partial RNase P RNA component class A". It matches the Rfam family "Bacterial RNase P class A", at positions 1 to 173 of the family's 367-position model. From Rfam's summary of the family: Ribonuclease P (RNase P) is a ubiquitous endoribonuclease, found in archaea, bacteria and eukarya as well as chloroplasts and mitochondria. Its best characterised activity is the generation of mature 5'-ends of tRNAs by cleaving the 5'-leader elements of precursor-tRNAs. Cellular RNase Ps are ribonucleoproteins. Lineage: Bacteria; Pseudomonadati; Acidobacteriota. The record is from RNAcentral.
CCUGCCGGAUGGGCAGUCGCCUGGUACUCCGGGUUGCAAGAUCUGGUACUGCCGGGAGGAAAGUCCGGUCUCCACAGGGCAGCAUGCCGGCUAACGGCCGGGGGGGUUCGCUCAAAGCGGACUUUACGGAAAGUGCCACAGAAAAUAUACCGCCAGCCGCCUUGUGCGGCGGGUAAGGGUGAAAAGGUGCGGUAAGAG